RNAcentral lists this ribosomal RNA (448 nucleotides) under uncultured bacterium. RNAcentral's name for it is "bacterial SSU rRNA". It matches the Rfam family "Bacterial small subunit ribosomal RNA", at positions 331 to 795 of the family's 1533-position model. The record is from RNAcentral.
CGAGACUCCUACGGGAGGCAGCAGUGGGGAAUAUUGCACAAUGGGGGGAACCCUGAUGCAGCGACGCCGCGUGGGUGAAGGAGUAUUUCGGUAUGUAAAGCCCUAUCAGCAGGGAAGAACAAUGACGGUACCUGACUAAGAAGCACCGGCUAAAUACGUGCCAGCAGCCGCGGUAAUACGUAUGGUGCAAGCGUUAUCCGGAUUUACUGGGUGUAAAGGGAGCGUAGACGGCGAUGCAAGUCUGAAGUGAAAGGCGGGGGCCCAACCCCCGGACUGCUUUGGAAACUGUAUAGCUGGAGUGCAGGAGAGGUAAGUGGAAUUCCUAGUGUAGCGGUGAAAUGCGUAGAUAUUAGGAGGAACACCAGUGGCGAAGGCGGCUUACUGGACUGUAACUGACGUUGAGGCUCGAAAGCGUGGGGAGCAAACAGGAUUAGAUACCCCGGUAGAC